GAUGAACGCUGGCGGCGUGCCUAAUACAUGCAACUCGAGCGAACAGACGAGGAGCUUGCUCCUCUGACGUUAGCGGCGGACGGGUGAGUAACACGUGGAUAACCUACCUAUAAGACUGGGAUAAAUUCGGGAAACCGGAGCUAAUACCGGAUAAUAUAUUGAACCGCAUGGUUCAAUAGUUAAAGACGGUUUUGCUGUCACUUAUAGAUGGAUCCGCGCCGCAUUAGAUAGUUGAUAAGGUAACGGCUUACCAAGGCAACGACGCGUAGCCGACCUGAGAGACUGAUCGGCCACACUGGACCUGAGACCCGGUCCAGACUCAUACGGGAGGCAGCAGUGGGGAAUCUCCCGCAAUCGGCGCAAGCUUGACGGAGGAAAGCAGCGUGCAGGAUCAGGCUCUUCGGAUCGCAGACCUCUCUUAUUAGGGAAGACCAAAUGUGUAAGUAGCUCUUCACGCAGUGACGGUCCCUGGAAAGAAAACCACGGGUAACGACAUG
This 497-nucleotide ribosomal RNA is filed under the name uncultured bacterium. RNAcentral describes it as "partial 16S ribosomal RNA". It matches the Rfam family "Bacterial small subunit ribosomal RNA", at positions 28 to 507 of the family's 1533-position model. The record is from RNAcentral.